RNAcentral lists this ribosomal RNA (428 nucleotides) under uncultured bacterium. RNAcentral describes it as "bacterial SSU rRNA". It matches the Rfam family "Bacterial small subunit ribosomal RNA", at positions 32 to 440 of the family's 1533-position model. The record is from RNAcentral.
AAUCAACGCUGGCGGCGUGCCUCAGACAUGCAAGUCGAACGCGAAAGUUCCCUUCGGGGAGCGAGUAGAGUGGCGCACGGGUGAGUAACACGUAGGUAAUUUACCUUCGGGUGGGGAAUAACAGCCGGAAACGGCUGCUAAUACCGCAUAAUGCAGCGGCUCGACAUCGAGACAGUUGUUAAAGCGGGGGAUCGCAAGACCUCGCGCCUGAAGAGAAGCCUGCGGCAGAUUAGCUAGUUGGUGGGGUAAUGGCUCACCAAGGCGACGAUCUGUAGCCGGCCUGAGAGGGCGGUCGGCCACACUGACACUGACAUACGGGUCAGACUCCUACGGGAGGCAGCAGUCGGGAAUUUUGGGCAAUGGGCGAAAGCCUGACCAGCAGCGCCGCGUGAAGGAUGAAAUCCCUCGGGAUGUAAACUUCGCAAGAA